RNAcentral lists this long non-coding RNA (821 nucleotides) under Homo sapiens (human). RNAcentral describes it as "HSALNT0297199". The record is from RNAcentral. Lineage: Eukaryota; Metazoa; Chordata; Mammalia; Primates; Hominidae.
UUAUUUUCCUUCAAAGGAAAUAAUUAAAAUUCAGUCUAUUUUUGGAUCUGGAGUGUCAUUGUAAUUCACAUUCGCUAAUUUUGGCAAGCAGUCUCCUACUGUUAUGAUUUUCCAUUUCCUUACUUGGUACUUUCUGACAUGAGAAACAGAGGGAAAGUUUUGAUAUUAAGUAAAUGUGUUCUUCAGUCACAUGUACAGCAGCAAAUAAUCAGUGGAACUUUUAGAUAAAUGAAGGCUUCAUAAUCGGACUUGACUUGAUCUACUAUAACAGAUGAAAAAUGAAGCAAUAUAAGGUUGAUGACAUAGAAGACUUAAUUUCCUCCUCAUGAUUAAUCUCUCAGUUGGAGAGUAUACACACUCUUACACAGAAUCCAGGACGAAAGCCCUCAUCAGAUGCUUACAUCAUGAUCUUGGACUUCCCAGCCUCCAGACUGAUGCUAUGGAAGAUCAGAAAAUAUAAAUUUAUGAACUGCUAUAAACUGUUAUUUUCUUCGUGAAGAUCAGCACAACAAGAUGUUCCAGACUUAUUCAACAUAUUGUCCAGCCAGUCCUGGAAACAAUCAGUUCCCUGAGGACAGAAUUAAAGUUUAGAGACCUGAAUCUGGGCCCCAGGGGUGGUCAUUACUACUGGUUUGCCACUGCUUCUGUAGCUUUUCAGUGAAGAGGUAGUUAUGUAAUAUGUAUCUAAAAAAAUAAAUUCAAGUUAUGUAUUUUAAAAAUAAAUUCAAGGUCUAUAUAUUUUAGAAAAAGGAAAAAUCAUGUGUUCAUGUUAAUAUUUAUAUUUAAAUAUAUAAUUACAUGUCUUAAUUUAUGUUGUUCUA